Molecule: unclassified non-coding RNA, 2176 nt
Filed under: Hevea brasiliensis (rubber tree)
Lineage: Eukaryota; Viridiplantae; Streptophyta; Magnoliopsida; Malpighiales; Euphorbiaceae
Source: RNAcentral
UGAAAAUGGCCGAGCAGUCCCUAAGCACUGUGAGUCUCUCUGCCCAAAUCAAAACCCCACCAUUUAUAUAGCAUAUUCCAUUUUGAAGCAUAACGUUCCCAGUUCCCACUGCUUUCUCCAUCUUCAGUGAAGAACCUUAUACCCUUGCCACCCUUUCUACUAAAAACUUCUCUCCCUCUCCAUUCUCAAUCGAUACUCAAAAAAUCCUCCCAAAAUGUUCACUUUUCCCCGCAUCGUAUCGAUUCAUUUCCUCAAUUAUUUUCCUGCAAAGCAAAUAAUUCUCCCCCAAUUGAAAAAAGAGGGAUAAUUUUCCUAUAUAAACUCAAUACCCACAAAGCGUCAAAGACAGGACAAAUUUCUUCAAAUUUAAUCAUAAUAUAGGGAAAAUGGGGUCAAUCAGGCUCUUUCUCAACCGUCCGAUCUCUCUUUCUACCCCGUCGGUGGAUAUUCAUCGUUCGGUUAAGACGCGAGCAUGUCUUAACGUGGACGUGCACGUGCAGCCACCGGAUUCUGUGAAGCUGAAUUUGAAGAGUAAGGAGGUGAUGGAGAUGGAGGCGAAGGUCCUGGUGGGGACUUAUGCAAGGAACCCUUUGGUGCUCGCCCAUGGCAAAGGUUGUAAAUUGUAUGAUCCUGAAGGACUAGAAUAUUUGGACUGCACGUCCGGUAUUGCAGUUAACGCCCUCGGCCACGGGGAUCCCGAUUGGGUUCGGGCGGUCACAGAGCAAGCCAAUUUGCUUACGCAUGUUAGUAACGUCUACUAUUCAAUCCCUCAGGUAGAGCUUGCAAAACGUCUGGUGGCUUGUUCUUUUGCUGAUCGUGUCUUUUUCACAAACUCUGGAACUGAAGCAAAUGAAGCUGCUAUCAAAUUUGCUAGGAAGUUUCAGAGGGUUAUACACCCUGAUGAGAAACACCCAGCAACUGGGUUCAUUGCUUUUACAAAUAGCUUCCAUGGAAGGACUAUGGGGGCUGUUGCUUUGACAAGCAAAGAGCAUUACCGCUUCCCUUUUGAGCCAGUCAUGCCUGGAGUUACUUUUCUGGAAUAUGGCAACAUGCAAGCUGCUAGGGAAUUGAUUAAAUGUGGGAAAAUUGCUGCCGUAUUCGUAGAACCUAUCCAGGGUGAAGGUGGCAUUUAUAGUGCAACAAAGGAAUUUUUGCAAUCCUUACGUAGUGCUUGUGAUGAAGCUGGUUGUCUCCUGGUUUUGGAUGAGGUUCAAUGUGGCUUGGGCCGAACUGGUUAUCUUUGGGCAUAUGAAGCCUAUGGUGUAGUCCCGGAUAUAAUGACCAUUGCUAAGCCUCUUGCAGGAGGCCUUCCCAUAGGAGCUGCAUUAAUGAGUGAAAGAGUUGCUGCUGCCAUUAAGUUUGGAGAACAUGGAAGCACUUUUGCUGGUGGACCUCUUGUCUGUACUGCUGCCAUCACUGUUUUGGAUAAAAUAUCAAGACCUGGUUUCUUGACCAGCGUCUCUAAGAAAGGUCAGUACUUCAAAGAAAUGCUAAUACAGAAGCUGGGAGGAAAUUCACAUGUGAGAGAAGUCCGAGGUUUGGGGCUUAUAAUAGGGAUAGAGCUGGAUGUGUCUGCUUCACCUCUUGUAGAUGCCUGCCGAAACUCUGGUCUAUUAAUAUUAACAGCAGGAGAAGGAAAUGUGGUUAGGCUGGUCCCUCCAUUGAUCAUCUCAGAACAAGAAUUGGAGCGUGCAGCUGAUAUUUUGUUUGAAUGUUUACCAGUACUUGAUAAGACAUUGAAGUGAGUAGAAGUCAUAGAAGCUAACGGGUGACGCCUGUUAAAAUUCUCUUAAUAUUGGACCUGUGUCUUGAAUAUUUAUUGUUAUGCAAUCAACCCUUAUUUGAUAUAAGAAAUCCUUUAACUUUCCAGUAGCGGUCGUUAACCUUGGUUUGCAUGUGCUGUGUGUUGUAUGUCUACAAACCUUGUUCACUUGUGAGAUCUGUCUAGAACACCUAGCCUAGCUACAGCUAAUAAUACUGAAGCCUUAAAAUUGCCUGAACACUAAGAGCUUACCAUGGAUGUGAAUUACGUCUCACUGCCCAUUAGUAUGCCUUGGCGAAAUGAGUAGCUGUGUAGCAUUUCCAAAUUCCUAAGGGUUAAAAAAGAAAAAUCCAAAUUUUUGUCCUGUUAUCCUAUAUGAUAUAACAUGCCGAUUAGAAGCUGAUGCAGGAAUUU